This is a long non-coding RNA of Pistacia vera, 728 nucleotides long. RefSeq lists it as uncharacterized. The transcript is spliced from 3 exons. NCBI's taxonomy places the organism in Eukaryota, Viridiplantae, Streptophyta, Magnoliopsida, Sapindales, Anacardiaceae. The record is from RefSeq and is a predicted model, not a curated record.
CAGCAAUUAGAGAUUGUUCAUUGCCCUGUUCUGGAAGAACUUUACAAGGAGACAGGAGAUGAUAGGAGCGAGAUCUCUCACAUUCCAAAAGUCUCUAUCCGUUGAUUGGAAUCAUGGAGUGAAGAUGAAAGCUGUAACAAACAUGGCUGUUCCAUUCUCAGAUAGCUGCAAUUGCUAUUCACCCAUUGUGAUGGAGGAGGGAGAGUGGGUUCUGGUGCGGCGAGCCAUAGAGAGAAACUUGUGGAACCCGAGUAUUGGAGAUGGAUGGGAGAGUUCUAAGCCGUUGAAGGUCAUGUUUAGUGGGCUAGCCAAUUGUUGGACCGAUGCGAUUCCGAUUGCUAAUGGAGGACUUGGAGCCAUGGUGUGGGGUGGUGUUGCUUCAGAGACUCUUCAACUUAAUGGUAAAGUUCAUGUAAAUCUUGUAAAUCACCAGUUCUUGUAAAUCUUGGGCAGCUAUAAAUGCGAGAAAAAACGAGAGUUUCUAAAGCAUCUUAGACCGAAGUUUCACAUCAGUUUGAUGAACGAACACUAGCUUUGUUGUAGUUGUGGAUGAUUUCCAAACCAUGUUUAGACUUCUCAAACGCUGCAGCCACAACAAAAUGCAGUCCAAUGGAGGAAUGAAGCCAAAAUAAUACACGUAUGCUAGCAACAUGGUAUCCAAAUAAGUCAUGAGAUGUUUGGUAUUUCUUAUUUUGCCUCAUCUUGUCAAGAGGCUGCUUGUUUAUAUU